UACGUAGGGGGCAAGCGUUAUCCGGAUUUACUGGGUGUAAAGGGAGCGUAGACGGCAUAGCAAGUCUGGAGUGAGAGCCCGUGGCUCAACCGCGGAACUGCUUUGGAAACUGUUAAGCUGGAGUACUGGAGAGGCAAGCGGAAUUCCUAGUGUAGCGGUGAAAUGCGUAGAUAUUAGGAGGAACACCAGUGGCGAAGGCGGCUUGCUGGACAGAGACUGACGUUGAGGCUCGAAAGCGUGGGGAGCAAACAGG
This 253-nucleotide ribosomal RNA is filed under the name uncultured bacterium. RNAcentral's name for it is "partial 16S ribosomal RNA". It matches the Rfam family "Bacterial small subunit ribosomal RNA", at positions 524 to 776 of the family's 1533-position model. The record is from RNAcentral.